UAGCCGUAAACGAUACUCGCUAGGUGUCGGCCACGGUGCGACCGUUGUCGGUGCCGUAGGGAAGCCGUGAAGCGAGCCACCUGGGAAGUACGGCCGCAAGGCUGAAACUUAAAGGAAUUGGCGGGGGAGGCACCACAAGAGGUGGAGGGCUGCGGUUCAAUUGGACUCAACGCCGGAAACUACAUCGGGAGGCGACAGCAGUAUGAUUGCCAGGUUGAUGACCUUGCUUGACAAGCUGAGAGGUGGUGCAUGGCGUAGUCGUGU
Molecule: ribosomal RNA, 264 nt
Filed under: uncultured archaeon
Lineage: Archaea
Description: partial 16S ribosomal RNA
Rfam family: Archaeal small subunit ribosomal RNA
Source: RNAcentral